GCCAAAUUUAGGAGCCAGAACAAGUAAUUGCUAACAGAAGAUAUUGACAACAUGAAAAUAAAAUAAAAAAUCACAAACAGUAUUUGUACAUAUUUUUUGUGUAAAGAAAAGAGAGUGGGACUACCGUGCAGAUGGAAGUCCAAGGACCCAUUGCAUACGUACUCAUAGACCGAUAUUCUCUUCUUGCUAUCAAUACAAAACCCAAUAAAAAACACAACAUUUCUGUGUUGCGCACAGCUCAAUACCUUCACUUCCCUGCAGAAAUCAGCAU
This 271-nucleotide unclassified non-coding RNA is filed under the name Hevea brasiliensis (rubber tree). The record is from RNAcentral. Lineage: Eukaryota; Viridiplantae; Streptophyta; Magnoliopsida; Malpighiales; Euphorbiaceae.